CAGUAGCCACGGGAAUACGAAGGGUGCAAGCGUUACUCGGAAUUACUGGGCGUAAAGCGUGCGUAGGUGGUGGUUUAAGUCCGUUGUGAAAGCCCUGGGCUCAACCUGGGAAUUGCAGUGGAUACUGGGUCACUAGAGUGUGGUAGAGGAUAGUGGAAUUUCCGGUGUAGCAGUGAAAUGCGUAGAGAUCGGAAGGAACAUCUGUGGCGAAGGCGACUAUCUGGGCCAACACUGACACUGAGGCACGAAAGCGUGGGGGGCAAACAGGAUUAGAGACCCCCGUAGUCCCUGUCUCUUAUAC
This 301-nucleotide ribosomal RNA is filed under the name uncultured bacterium. RNAcentral describes it as "partial 16S ribosomal RNA". It matches the Rfam family "Bacterial small subunit ribosomal RNA", at positions 509 to 807 of the family's 1533-position model. The record is from RNAcentral.